UUGACCUCGGAUCAGGUAGGGAUACCCGCUGAACUUAAGCAUAUCAAUAAGUCGGAGAAA
RNAcentral lists this ribosomal RNA (60 nucleotides) under Aspergillus sp. jzk1-8. Its description in RNAcentral is "partial 28S ribosomal RNA". The record is from RNAcentral. Lineage: Eukaryota; Fungi; Ascomycota; Eurotiomycetes; Eurotiales; Aspergillaceae.